CUUUAUUGGAGAGUUUGAUCCUGGCUCAGGAUGAACGCUGGCGGCGUGCCUAAUACAUGCAAGUCGAGCGAAUGGAUUAAGAGCUUGCUCUUAUGAAGUUAGCGGCGGACGGGUGAGUAACACGUGGGUAACCUACCCAUAAGACUGGGAUAACUCCGGGAAACCGGGGCUAAUACCGGAUAAUAUUUUGAACUGCAUAGUUCGA
This 205-nucleotide ribosomal RNA is filed under the name Bacillus mycoides. RNAcentral's name for it is "16S rRNA. Bacterial SSU". It matches the Rfam family "Bacterial small subunit ribosomal RNA", at positions 1 to 198 of the family's 1533-position model. The record is from RNAcentral. Lineage: Bacteria; Bacillati; Bacillota; Bacilli; Caryophanales; Bacillaceae.